AGACAAGUAUUGCUGAUAUGUUGAAGAACGCCCCAAACAAACUCGGUGGAAACAGAUACAAGAAUCUUGUGGGACCAACAAGUCUAUCUACAGGCCGAGUACAAAACCUUCCCCUCAAACUCCAAGACAAGACAGAACUGAAAGCUCUCCUUUCGAAAAAUCUAUAACAGAAAAAAUGGAAUACAUAAUGAAGGAAUUAUCAAAAUUGACAUUUUUAUCAGGGGAUA
Procambarus clarkii (red swamp crayfish) is the source of this 227-nucleotide non-coding RNA. The record is from RefSeq and is a predicted model, not a curated record. Lineage: Eukaryota; Metazoa; Arthropoda; Malacostraca; Decapoda; Cambaridae.